Molecule: non-coding RNA, 393 nt
Organism: Phascolarctos cinereus (koala)
Lineage: Eukaryota; Metazoa; Chordata; Mammalia; Diprotodontia; Phascolarctidae
Source: the annotation of a RefSeq genome assembly
AUGCAAUGUCUCUGUGUUGUAGGUGUCCAGUGUGAUGUGGAGCUGGUGGAGUCUGGGGGAGAAGUGAUACAGCCUGGGGGAUCUGUGAGUCUCUCCUGCAAAGGUUCUGGAUUUACUUUCAGCAGCUACAGGAUUAACUGGGUCUGCCAGGCUUCAGGAAAGGGACUGGAAUGGGUUGCAGGAAUUAGCACUAGUGGAAGUACAUACUAUGCAGACUCUGUGAAAGACCGAUUCACCAUCUCCAGAGAUAAUGGCAACAGCAUGUUAUAUCUACAAAUGACUUCCCUUAAGACUGAGGACACAGCUGUGUACUACUGUGCAAGAGGCAAAGUGAGGAAAAGGAAUGUGAGACCAGAUAAAAACUUCCCCUGCCAGGAGGUGAAGUGUGAGUGA